This 492-nucleotide ribosomal RNA is filed under the name uncultured bacterium. RNAcentral's name for it is "partial 16S ribosomal RNA". It matches the Rfam family "Bacterial small subunit ribosomal RNA", at positions 29 to 507 of the family's 1533-position model. The record is from RNAcentral.
AGUGAACGCUGGCGGUAGGCCUAACACAUGCAAGUCGAACGGCAGCACAGUAAGAGCUUGCUCUUACGGGUGGCGAGUGGCGGACGGGUGAGGAAUACAUCGGAAUCUACUUUUUCGUGGGGGAUAACGUAGGGAAACUUACGCUAAUACCGCAUACGACCUACGGGUGAAAGCAUGGGAUCUUCGGACCUUGCGCGAUUGAAUGAGCCGAUGUCGGAUUAGCUAGUUGGCGGGGUAAAGGCCCACCAAGGCGACGCUCCGUAGCUGGUCUGAGAGGAUGAUCAGCCACCCUGGAACUGAGACACGGUCCAGACUCCUACGGGAGGCAGCAGUGGGGAAUAUUGGACAAUGGGCGCAAGCCUGAUCCAGCCAUACCGCGUGGGUGAAGAAGGCCUUCGGGUUGUAAAGCCCUUUUGUUGGGAAAGAAAAGCAGCAGGUUAAUACCCCGCUGUUCUGACGGUACCCAAAGAAUAAGCACCGGCUAACUUCGUG